RNAcentral lists this ribosomal RNA (499 nucleotides) under uncultured bacterium. RNAcentral describes it as "partial 16S ribosomal RNA". It matches the Rfam family "Bacterial small subunit ribosomal RNA", at positions 899 to 1397 of the family's 1533-position model. The record is from RNAcentral.
ACUCAAAGGAAUAGACGGGGGCCCGCACAAGCGGUGGAUUAUGUGGAUUAAUUCGAUGCAACGCGAAAAACCUUACCUGGCCUUGACAUGUAACGAACUUUCCAGAGAUGGAUUGGUGCUCGAAAGAGAACGUUAACACAGGUGCUGCAUGGCUGUCGUCAGCUCGUGUCGUGAGAUGUUGGGUUAAGUCCCGCAACGAGCGCAACCCUUGCCAUUAAUUGCCAUCAUUUAGUUGGGCACUUUAAUGGGACUGCCGGUGACAAACCGGAGGAAGGUGGGGAUGACGUCAAGUCCUCAUGGCCCUUAUGGCCAGGGCUUCACACGUAAUACAAUGGUCGGUACAGAGGGUCGCCAACCCGCAAGGGGGAGCCAAUCCCAGAAAGCCGAUCGUAGUCCGGAUUGAGGUCUGCAACUCGACCUCAUGAAGUCGGAAUCGCUAGUAAUCGCGGAUCAGCAUGUCGCGGUGAAUACGUUCCCGGGCCUUGCACACACCGCCCGU